UGCCUUGCUAGAGUAUGAGAGAGAGAAGUAGAAAUUUCCGGUGUAGCGGUGAAAUGCGUAGAUAUCGAGAAGAGAACAUCAGUGGCGAAGACGACUUCCUGAGACCAAUACUGACGCUCAGGUGCGAAAAGCGUGAGGAGCAAACAGGAUUAGAUACCCUGAGUAGUCCACGCCCUAAACGAUGACAACUAGAUGUCGAGAGAGUUUGCCUUCCGGUGUCGUAGCUAACGCGUUAAGUUGUCCGCCUGAGAAGUACGGCCGCAAGGUUGAAACUCAAAGGAAUUGACGGAGACCCGCACAAGCGGUGGAGCAUGUGGUUUAAUUCGAUGCAACGCGAAGAACCUUACCUGGUCUUGACAUCCUAGGAAUCCUGCAGAGAUGCGGGAGUGCCUUCGGGAACCUGGAGACAGGUGCUGCAUGGCUGUCGUCAGCUCGUGUCGUGAAAUGUUGGGUUAAAUCCCGCAACGAGCGCAACCCUUGCCCUUAGUUGCCAUCAUUAAGUUGGGAACUCUAAGGGGACCGCCGGUGACAAACCGGAAGAAGGUGGGGAUGACGUCAAGUCAUCAUGGCCCUUAUGACCAGGGCUACACACGUGCUACAAUGGUCGGUAUAGAGGGUCGCCAACCCGCGAGGGGGAGCCAAUCCCACAAAACCGAUCGUAGUCCGGAUUGCAGUCUGCAACUCGACUGCAUGAAGUCGGAAUCGCUAGUAAUCGCGAAUCAGCCAUGUCGCGGUGAAUACGUUCCCGGGUCUUGUACACACCGCCCGU
RNAcentral lists this ribosomal RNA (769 nucleotides) under uncultured bacterium. RNAcentral describes it as "bacterial SSU rRNA". It matches the Rfam family "Bacterial small subunit ribosomal RNA", at positions 634 to 1397 of the family's 1533-position model. The record is from RNAcentral.